Molecule: non-coding RNA, 219 nt
Organism: Pelobates cultripes (western spadefoot toad)
Lineage: Eukaryota; Metazoa; Chordata; Amphibia; Anura; Pelobatidae
Source: the annotation of a GenBank genome assembly
ACUACCUACUAAAAUAUAAUUGGUAUCCUAUUUAAUACUUUGUAAAAUUUGGAGAAGGCUCAUACUAUCGUUUAGGUAUGACCUUAUGUAAGGAGUGUUGAAGGAUAAUAUCUACAUACUCAGACAGAUUGGAUAAAACUGAAUGAAUCUUAGAGACAAUUGGACAUCCCAGCGGUUUAUUGGAAAUGUUAUGAAUUUUGGGUAACAAAUAUAUUACUG